This 203-nucleotide long non-coding RNA is filed under the name Mytilus galloprovincialis (Mediterranean mussel). Lineage: Eukaryota; Metazoa; Mollusca; Bivalvia; Mytilida; Mytilidae. The record is from RNAcentral.
ACCGCUAGUAACCGUUGUAUAACUUUACACGCCUGAAAACGAAUAUUUGCGUGAAACAUUUUUGUAUGAUUUUUAUUUCUGGAAAUCAAUCUGAAAUCUACAACAGUCCAUUUCCGAAAGUCGGGCUGGACCUUUACUUUUAUGUGCAUUCGGGAUUUACACAAAUUGUAACCCGAAUAUUUCAGCUGAUGUACGAAUGCUAC